Molecule: ribosomal RNA, 253 nt
Filed under: uncultured bacterium
Lineage: Bacteria
Description: partial 16S ribosomal RNA
Rfam family: Bacterial small subunit ribosomal RNA
Source: RNAcentral
UACGUAGGAUGCAAGCGUUGUCCGGAAUUAUUGGGCGUAAAGAGCGCGCAGGCGGUCUGCCAAGUCAGAUGUGAAAGAGGCCGGCUUAACCGGCAAGGGUCAUUUGAAACUGACAGACUAGAGUGCAGCAGAGGAUAGCGGAAUUCCCGGUGUAGUGGUGAAAUGCGUAGAUAUCCGGAAGAACACCGGUGGCGAAGGCGGCCUGCUGGGCAGUGGCUGACGCUGAGGCGCGACAGCGUGGGGAGCAAACAGG